This 786-nucleotide long non-coding RNA is filed under the name Catharus ustulatus (Swainson's thrush). Its description in RNAcentral is "lncRNA (ENSCUSG00005003527.1)". Lineage: Eukaryota; Metazoa; Chordata; Aves; Passeriformes; Turdidae. The record is from RNAcentral.
AUGAAACAAAUCAGCUCCAGCUCUCCCUCUGAAAUGAGCUUCCACGUGGUACUGGGGAAGAAAUCAGGACAUUUUGAGAACUUCUAUUUCUCCUAUGGGGCCAACUACAGAAGAGUUGAGAAACUCAGCAGUGAUUCCCUUGGACACUUCUUUGCAAAGCUAAAUCACAAGUCACUCAGCAACUUCUCAGGAAGUAUCUGGGAACCAUCAGUGAAUUUGCUGCUGGGAAGUAUAAAAGUUCUUCUUGGAUCCAUAAAAUAUGAAGAUGACAUCAUCUUACUAAAUGCUCAUGUUUAUUUGAUGGUCUUUCAUGAUCUGAAGCCUUUUAUUUCCUUCAUUAAGCAGAAGAAAAUGCAAAGUGAAACAAGAACCAGGGUCAGAAAAAGGCAUUAUUUAGACUUAAAUCCUUACAAGAGGAUCCCACAUUGACUGAAAGAAUUUUUACUGAUCUGCCAAUUCUCUCUGCCUAGAAAUGAGAAAGUGAUCUGGCAAGCUGGCAAGGGAAUGAAAACCAACAGUCCUUCCACAAAACACUUCAGACAUGUGUACCAAUGAAAGAAAUGCAGGAAUAUGAAUGGAAGCACCUAAAUAUAGGAAAUGCUAAGUGUCUUUGCCUGGGCCAGUUAGCAUAGCUGAGAAGGGAUUGGGUAAUUGAUGUAGGCUGAAUAUGUGGCAGAACAAGCCAGGAGGGGAAGAAACAUCCUGUUACCUUGUGCCAGGAGAGCACACCCUGAGAGAAGACUUCCAAUGGUCAGCCAUGCUGCCAGGAGAACCAGCUGUGCAUAG